AGAUGGCGACCGGCGCACGGGUGAGUAACACUAUCCAACCUGCCGAUAACUCGGGGAUAGCCUUUCGAAAGAAAGAUUAAUACCCGAUGGUAUAAUCAGACCGCAUGGUCUUGUUAUUAAAGAAUUUCGGUUAUCGAUGGGGAUGCGUUCCAUUAGGCAGUUGGUGAGGUAACGGCUCACCAAACCUUCGAUGGAUAGGGGUUCUGAGAGGAAGGCCCCCCACAUUGGAACUGAGACACGGUCCAA
This 246-nucleotide ribosomal RNA is filed under the name uncultured bacterium. RNAcentral describes it as "partial 16S ribosomal RNA". It matches the Rfam family "Bacterial small subunit ribosomal RNA", at positions 86 to 334 of the family's 1533-position model. The record is from RNAcentral.